This 383-nucleotide ribosomal RNA is filed under the name uncultured eukaryote. RNAcentral describes it as "partial 18S ribosomal RNA". It matches the Rfam family "Eukaryotic small subunit ribosomal RNA", at positions 592 to 976 of the family's 1831-position model. The record is from RNAcentral.
CAAUAGCGUAUAUUAAAGUUGUUGCGGUUAAAAAGCUCGUAGUUGGAUCUCGGCAGGCAGGGGGUGGUUCGCUCUUAGCGCUACUGCCCCAUUUGCCUGUGUGAUUGGCGGAGGUUUCGGGGUGCUCUUCGUUGAGUGACCCGGGGCGCCGUCAGGUUUACUUUGAAAAAAUUAGAGUGCUCAAAGCAGGCUUUUCACGCUUGAAUAUUCGUGCAUGGAAUAAUGGAAUAGGAACUCGUUUCUAUUUUGCUGGUUUUCGGAAAUCGAGUUAAUGAUUAAUAGGGACAAUUGGGGGCAUUAGUAUUCAGACGACAGAGGUGAAAUUCUUGGACCGUCUGAAGACUAACUACUGCGAAAGCAUUUGCCAAGAGUGUUUUCAUUAA